CUGUAGAAGCCCGGAUGGAAACUUUCUGUUGGAGAAAUCCGACUGGAGUCCGAUGGCUAGAGAAGUCCGUCUGAAAUUUAUUUGAUGUAGAAGCUUGUCUGAAGACUGUCCUCUGGAGAGGUCCAAUUGCAUGAGGAAUCCGACAGAAGGUCGAUCGAUAGCAAAAUUCGAAAGGCACUAUAGAAGGUUGACCGAUAGAAGAGUCUGAAAGGCGUUAUGGAAGUUUGUCC
RNAcentral lists this long non-coding RNA (230 nucleotides) under Elaeis guineensis (African oil palm). Its description in RNAcentral is "long non-coding RNA (EGUI_LNC042741)". Lineage: Eukaryota; Viridiplantae; Streptophyta; Magnoliopsida; Arecales; Arecaceae. The record is from RNAcentral.